CCACAGUAUCGACAUUUGAAAGCAUGGUUAACAGUAGAUAUAUGAAUGUGCAUGUGGCGUUCAAGUCCUUGCUUUGUUGUAAACUUCCUCUCACAAUGCUGACAAGGAAACAUGAAUGUUUCCUGAACAUCACCAUUUGAUUCACCUCUUGCUUUUGGAAUUUUCACCACAAGUUUCUUUGGAGAGCUCUCUGGAGAUUCCUCUGAUGUACUCUUUUGCUCUUCCAUAGAGUCUAACUUUUCUUCACAUAUCAAAGGCAUUUCAGCAUUUUCUUUAGGCAUAUUGGUAUCUUCCAUCUCCUCUUCUUCCUCUUCUUCAUCCUCUUCUUCAUCCUCAUCCAAAUCAUCUGAUGCACAGUUUAUUGCUUCUUCUUGUUUCUCUUCGGUCACUAUUUGCAGUUCACUGGCAGGACUGGGAAUCAUCAGCUUUGGAAGUACAUCCUGAUUUACCAUCUCCUGAAUCACAGCUGUUUGUUCCAGGGACAGUACAGCAGAAACAGAAGGCUUUUCAUCUUCUUCUUUAUGACCCUCUUUAGAAUCCCUCAUAUCUGCUGAAGAAUCCAAAUCAGUCUUUUUCUGCUUUGUAUCUGUUGCCUUCCUCCCCUUGUUUUUGCUUUCCUGAGUCUUUUUCUUUCCUUUCUUGGCUUUCGGGGAGUGCCGCCGGCUCCGGGCGCUGGCUCGCUCUUCCUCAAUAGCGGCGGCUAUCUCCGGGUCGUCCUCCCCAUUGUACCACACCAACAGCUCCUCGCCGGGCGCGAUUGGCUUUAAACUUUUGUAGUAUAUGGUCCUGUUGAUCUCCAGAGGAAACAGGUUUUGCUCCUUUCCUGAACGUGCCCAGUUUAUAUACCGCAGCCAGUUCCC
This 860-nucleotide long non-coding RNA is filed under the name Gallus gallus (chicken). The record is from RNAcentral. Lineage: Eukaryota; Metazoa; Chordata; Aves; Galliformes; Phasianidae.